GAUGAACGCUGGCGGCGUGCUUAACACAUGCAAGUCGAACGGGAAACCUUUUAUUGAAGCUUCGGCAGAUUUAGCUGGUUUCUAGUGGCGGACGGGUGAGUAACGCGUGGGUAACCUGCCUUAUACAGGGGGAUAACAGUCAGAAAUGGCUGCUAAUACCGCAUAAGCGCACAGAGCUGCAUGGCUCAGUGUGCAAAACUCCGGUGGUAUAAGAUGGACCCGCGUUGGAUUAGCUGGUUGGUGGGGUAACGGCCCACCAAGGCGACGAUCCAUAGCCGGCCUGAGAGGGUGAACGGCCACAUUGGGACUGAGACACGGCCCAGACUCCUACGGGAGGCAGCAGUGGGGAAUAUUGCACAAUGGGGGAAACCCUGAUGCAGCGACGCCGCGUGAAGGAAGAAGUAUCUCGGUAUGUAAACUUCUAUCAGCAGGGAAGAUAAUGACGGUACCUGACUAAGAAGCCCCGGCUAACUACGUG
Molecule: ribosomal RNA, 478 nt
Filed under: uncultured bacterium
Lineage: Bacteria
Description: partial 16S ribosomal RNA
Rfam family: Bacterial small subunit ribosomal RNA
Source: RNAcentral